AUGUGGGUCGUUUCCUCGACUUCUGGAUCCUUUCUUGGUAUUGAAGUCCCCAUCUUCCUUCUGGCAGCAGCUUUGAGAGAGAAGCGUGGGCAUACAGUGGAGAGGAGGGUGCCUCCUGGCUGGCUUCUCUCCAGGAGUAUUGGUGGCUGCAAUCAUCCUGUGGACUUUUUUGUGUCUUGUUAGAGUCAACUGGAUAUUAAAUCUGAAGACUGUCAGAAGAUAUAUUUGGCCCAGGCUUCUUUGGAGGGUGUCACACAGGAACUACAGCUGUCUACAGGAAGCAUCAGCCAUUCUUCUUCAGCUGGAGUUUUUGCAGCUGUAUAGCUCUGGUGCAAGGAUAUGAGAAACCCACCAGACAGGGUAAGAACUGUCAUGGCUUAGAAACCUCAGACCUUACUACUGUACCAAUUAUUUCUUAUAAUGACUCAAUAGGAUUCCAGUCUCCAAAGGGCAAUCCAGUCCCAAGAGUUACCAUACUCAGGAAGACCCAUAGCUACCUGUCUGAUUGGGUAUUUAGAGCACAUUUCUAGUCUCUCCCAAUCCAGAUGCAGUUGACCAAACAAGGGUUAUCUUAAUCAUUAAGCAACGUUGCUUAGUGCUAUAGACUUAAUAUUUAUUUUCCCCUACCCCUAAUCCAUAUGUUAAAUCCGAACCCCCAAGGUGAUUAGAGUUAGGAGAUGAACCCUUUGGAAAGUGAUUAGGUCAUGAAGGCAGAGCCUCCAAACCCAAGGAAUUCAUGCUCUUAUAAAAAGAAGACUGAGAAAGUGUCUACCUCUUCCCUCAUAUGAGGUUACAAAAAAGAUGGUAGUUUAGGACUGAAUCCUUGCCCAAUACCAAGCCUUCCAGCGCCUGGAUCUUAGACUUUCCAGCCUUCAGGACUGUGAGAUAUAAGUUUCUAUGGUUUAUAAAUUCCGCAGUCCGUGGUAUCUUUCUUACAGCAGCUUGAAUAGACACACACUUACUAUUGUAGUUAACAUUCCAUCUGAGGAACAAUCAGGUGUUUAGGUGGUCAUUUUAAGACAGCAAGCCAGGAGUUCCUAUUGUAAUGGUAAUUGGUUCAUUCAAUGGUAAUGAACCAGACUAGUGUCCAUGAGGAUGCAGGUUUGAUCCUUUGCCCCUUUUAGUGGGUUAAGGAUCCAGUGUUGCUGUGAGCUGCUCUGUAGGUCAAAGAUGUGGCUUGGAU
This 1183-nucleotide long non-coding RNA is filed under the name Sus scrofa (pig). RNAcentral describes it as "lncRNA (ENSSSCG00060068676.1)". Lineage: Eukaryota; Metazoa; Chordata; Mammalia; Artiodactyla; Suidae. The record is from RNAcentral.